CCUACGAGUGGCUGCAGUGAGGAAUAUUGGUCAAUGGACGAGAGUCUGAACCAGCCAAGUAGCGUGAAGGAUGACUGCCCUAUGGGUUGUAAACUGCUUUUAUAUGGGAAUAAAAUGUUCCACGUGUGGGAGUUUGUAUGUACCAUAUGAAUAAGGAUCGGCUAACUCCGUGCCAGCAGCCGCGGUAAUACGGAGGAUCCGAGCGUUAUCCGGAUUUAUUGGGUUUAAAGGGUGCGUAGGUGGAUUGUUAAGUAAGUUGUGAAAGUUUGCGGCUCAACCGUCAAAUUGCAGUUGAAACUGGCAGUCGUGAGUAUAGUAGUGGUGGGCGGAAUUCGUGGUGUAGCGGUGAAAUGCUUAGAUAUCACGAAGAACUCCGAUUGCGAAGGCAGCUCACUGGCCUGCAACUGACACUGAGGCUCGAAAGUGUGGGUAUCAAACAGGAUUAGAUACCCUUGUAGUC
This 460-nucleotide ribosomal RNA is filed under the name uncultured bacterium. Its description in RNAcentral is "partial 16S ribosomal RNA". It matches the Rfam family "Bacterial small subunit ribosomal RNA", at positions 338 to 795 of the family's 1533-position model. The record is from RNAcentral.